GGUAACGCCUGCCCAGUGAAAUUUUAACGGCCGCGGUAUCCUAACCGUGCAAAGGUAGCGUAAUCACUUGUCCCCUAAAUAGGGACCAGUAUGAACGGCUAAAUGAGGACCAACCUGUCUCUUCCAACUUAUCAAUGAAACUGAUCUAUCAGUACAAAAGCUGAUAUAAACCCAUAAGACGAGAAGACCCUGUGGAGCUUUAAAUCAAAAAUCAAUACAAAUUAACCAAACAACCACCCAUGAUUUAACGAUUUUCAAUUGGGGCGAUUUCGGAACAAAAAACAACUUCCGAGCACAAGAUCUACUCUUAUUAAGACCAACAAGUCAAAACAAAAUUGACCCAGUCAUACUGACCAACGAACCAAGUUACCCCAGGGAUAACAGCGCAAUCUUCUUCAAGAGUCCAUAUCGACAAGAAGGUUUACGACCUCGAUGUUGGAUCAGGACACCCAAUUGGUGCAGCCGCUAUUAAAGGUUCGUUUGUUCAACGAUU
RNAcentral lists this ribosomal RNA (493 nucleotides) under Microlophus habelii. RNAcentral's name for it is "partial 16S ribosomal RNA". It matches the Rfam family "Bacterial large subunit ribosomal RNA", at positions 1851 to 2589 of the family's 2925-position model. The record is from RNAcentral. Lineage: Eukaryota; Metazoa; Chordata; Lepidosauria; Squamata; Tropiduridae.